GUAGGUGAACCUGCGGAAGGAUCAUUAUUG
Molecule: ribosomal RNA, 30 nt
Filed under: Ceratobasidium sp. AG-A
Lineage: Eukaryota; Fungi; Basidiomycota; Agaricomycetes; Cantharellales; Ceratobasidiaceae
Description: partial 18S ribosomal RNA
Source: RNAcentral